This 253-nucleotide ribosomal RNA is filed under the name uncultured bacterium. Its description in RNAcentral is "partial 16S ribosomal RNA". It matches the Rfam family "Bacterial small subunit ribosomal RNA", at positions 524 to 776 of the family's 1533-position model. The record is from RNAcentral.
AACGUAGGACACAAGCGUUAUCCGGAGUUACUGGGCGUAAAGGGCGCGUAGGCGGCACCGCAAGUCGACUGUGAAAUCUCCGGGCUUAACCCGGAAAGGUCAGCCGAUACUGCGGGGCUAGAGUGCAGAAGGGGCAACUGGAAUUCUUGGUGUAGCGGUGAAAUGCGUAGAUAUCAAGAGGAACACCUGCGGCGAAGGCGGGUUGCUGGGCUGACACUGACGCUGAUGCGCGAAAGCUAGGGGAGCGAACGGG